Molecule: transfer RNA, 63 nt
Filed under: Ugyops sp. APL-2018
Lineage: Eukaryota; Metazoa; Arthropoda; Insecta; Hemiptera; Delphacidae
Description: tRNA-Leu
Source: RNAcentral
UCUAAUAUGGCAGAAUAGUGCUAUGAACCUAAAAUUCAAAUAUAAAGUAAAUUUUUUUUAGAA